Molecule: long non-coding RNA, 807 nt
Organism: Armigeres subalbatus
Lineage: Eukaryota; Metazoa; Arthropoda; Insecta; Diptera; Culicidae
Exons: 3
Source: RefSeq, a predicted model, not a curated record
CAGAGCAAAAUCAAAACAAACAAAAAUGCUUCGCGAAUCGGUGAAUUUUGGUUUCGCAAAUUAAUUUGCAAAUUGCAACACUUUUCAAAUCUAUAAUAGAAAUUGUAAUAUACUAGCGGCUGGUGGAUAUAGUCAAAGUCAGCGGAAAUAUGUGCGCAAUAGUGUAGUGACGUUAAUUGCACCAACUUUAUCAGAAUAAACUGAUUUCCGAACAGACGGUGAUGUGACAGUUUUGGACUAAAUGACGGAGCAGGCAAAAUUCAACCAACAAAGUGCAUUCCGCGGGACCCCCUACACCAAGGCAGGUGAUACCAGUUCCGCCAUGGGAAGAAAUAUUAAAUAAAUGUUAAUGGAAGGAUGUCGUCAAAUAAUGUGGAUGGCAAUUGCAAAAAGAAACGAGACCAGAUGAUGAGACGGUGACGAGCCAAAGUAAUCAAUGCGGGAUCAAUGCGGCUCUUCUAGUGUUAUGGCCAAUGCUACUGAGGUCGACGAUCGUUGCAGUGGAGUGAAAAUUGCAAUGAUAAUGAGGACUUCCCCUUCGUUUGGCAUUCAGAUUGCACUUAUUUGGAACAACAACAAAAUUUGCAACACGCCAAUAACCGCUUGUGAUGCUUUUUGAGGAGAAUUUUGGGUACCUAAUUAAUAGGUGCGGCUGCUGUAUCUGACCAACAUAUUUAAUAACUUUUUAUUCCGCAACAAAAUGCCUAUUUAGCCGACAAAUGGAACAAAAAAAUUGUUCCCGAAACGCAACAGAUGCCCUAUUCAAGACAAGAACAAUUGAAUGCUUGGAUCCACUAUUAUUGAAGU